AAUGGCUCAUUAAAUCAGUUAUCGUUUAUUUGAUAGUACCUUACUACUUGGAUAACCGUGGUAAUUCUAGAGCUAAUACAUGCUGAAAACCCCGACUUCGGAAGGGGUGUAUUUAUUAGAUAAAAAGCCAAUGCCCUCCGGGGCUCCUUGGUGAUUCACAAUAACUUCUCAGAUCGCAUGGCCUUGCGCCGGCGACGGUUCAUUCAAAUUUCUGCCCUAUCAACUUUCGAUGGUAAGGUAUUGGCUUACCAUGGUUUCAACGGGUAACGGGGAAUUAGGGUUCGAUUCCGGAGAGGGAGCCGGAGGAACGGCUACCACAUCCAAGGAAGGCAGCAGGCGCGCAAAUUACCCAAUCCCGACACGGGGAGGUAGUGACAAUAAAUACUGAUACAGGGCUCUUUUGGGUCUUGUAAUUGGAAUGAGUACAAUUUAAACCUCUUAACGAGGAACAAUUGGAGGGCAAGUCUGGUGCCAGCAGCCGCGGUAAUUCCAGCUCCAAUAGCGUAUAUUAAAGUUGUUGCAGUUAAAAAGCUCGUAGUUGAACCUUUGGCCUGGCUGGCGGGUCCGCCUCACCGCGUGCACUUGUCCGGCCGGGCCUUCUCUUCUGGAGAACCGCAUGCCCUUCACUGGGUGUGUUGGGGACCAGGACUUUUACUUUGAAAAAAUUAGAGUGUUCAAAGCAGGCCUUUGCUCGAAUACGUUAGCAUGGAAUAAUGGAAUAGGACGUGCGGUCCUAUUUUGUUGGUUUCUAGGACCGCCGUAAUGAUUAAUAGGGACAGUCGGGGGCAUCAGUAUUCAAUUGUCAGAGGUGAAAUUCUUGGAUUUAUUGAAGACUAACUACUGCGAAAGCAUUUGCCAAGGAUGUUUUCAUUAAUCAGUGAACGAAAGUUAGGGGAUCGAAGACGAUCAGAUACCGUCGUAGUCUUAACCAUAAACUAUGCCGACUAGGGAUCGGGCGGUGUUAUUAUUUUGACUCGCUCGGCACCU
This 987-nucleotide ribosomal RNA is filed under the name Katumotoa bambusicola. Its description in RNAcentral is "SSU rRNA". It matches the Rfam family "Eukaryotic small subunit ribosomal RNA", at positions 92 to 1088 of the family's 1831-position model. Lineage: Eukaryota; Fungi; Ascomycota; Dothideomycetes; Pleosporales; Lentitheciaceae. The record is from RNAcentral.